This 430-nucleotide ribosomal RNA is filed under the name bacterium. Its description in RNAcentral is "partial 16S ribosomal RNA". It matches the Rfam family "Bacterial small subunit ribosomal RNA", at positions 355 to 776 of the family's 1533-position model. The record is from RNAcentral.
UGGGGAAUAUUGGACAAUGGGCGCAAGCCUGAUCCAGCCAUGCCUCGUGUGUGAAGAAGUCCUUUUGGUUGUAAAGCACUUUAAGCGAGGAGGAGGCUACUUGGAUUAAUACUCUAAGAUAGUGGACGUUACUCGCAGAAUAAGCACCGGCUAACUCUGUGCCAGCAGCCGCGGUAAUACAGAGGGUGCGAGCGUUAAUCGGAUUUACUGGGCGUAAAGCGUGCGUAGGCGGCUUCUUAAGUCGGAUGUGAAAUCCCUGAGCUUAACUUAGGAAUUGCAGUCGAUACUGGGAAGCUAGAGUAUGGGAGAGGAUGGUAGAAUUCCAGGUGUAGCGGUGAAAUGCGUAGAGAUCUGGAGGAAUACCGAUGGCGAAGGCAGCAAUCUGGCCUAAUACUGACGCUGAGGUACGAAAGCAUGGGGAGCAAACAGG